UACGUAGGGGCUAGCGUUAUCCGGAACUUACUGGGCGUAAAGGGUGCGUAGGUGGUUUCUUAAGUCAGAGGUGAAAGGCUACGGCUCAACCGUAGUAAGCCUUUGAAACUGGGAAACUUGAGUGCAGGAGAGGAGAGUGGAAUUCCUAGUGUAGCGGUGAAAUGCGUAGAUAUUAGGAGGAACACCAGUUGCGAAGGCGGCUCUCUGGACUGUAACUGACACUGAGGCACGAAAGCGUGGGUAGCAAACAGGAUUAGAUACCCGUGUAGUCCCUGAG
RNAcentral lists this ribosomal RNA (277 nucleotides) under uncultured prokaryote. Its description in RNAcentral is "partial 16S ribosomal RNA". It matches the Rfam family "Bacterial small subunit ribosomal RNA", at positions 524 to 801 of the family's 1533-position model. The record is from RNAcentral.